This is a long non-coding RNA of Corythoichthys intestinalis (scribbled pipefish), 3538 nucleotides long. RefSeq lists it as uncharacterized. The transcript has 4 exons. The record is from RefSeq and is a predicted model, not a curated record. NCBI's taxonomy places the organism in Eukaryota, Metazoa, Chordata, Actinopteri, Syngnathiformes, Syngnathidae.
UGGAUGGAUGGAUGGAUGGAUGGAUGGAUGGAUGGAUGGAUGGAUGGAUGGAUUGAUCUGGAUCCCUCUCUGGGUGCGUGGAAUAAAGCCAGCGACGCUAUGAUGUUGUGAAUGCGAUCAGAGAUUCAAAGAGGCUGUUCAGGAUUUAUUUUUGGUUUACUUCAGAGAAUGAUGAGGAUGUGUGUGUGUGUGGUGUUCUGAAAUACAGAAAAACCAUAUGCAACAUGUCAGUUAUAUAAUACACAUGCGCAUAUGCUGUAUAAAUGGCGUAGGUUUGGUCUCAACAUUGGUAGGGACGAUAAAACUGCAUAACCUGCAUGUACACUUUUUGCUGGGGACGGGUCAUUAAUAAGACCAAACAGAUUGGGUGAGCGGGGCAAAGGGCCACAUAUCUCAUGAAUACGAACCUAAUUAAUGGAUAGGCUAAAUAAAUCAGCAUUGACUGAUAACUUUUACGUGCAAUGGUUCAGGUGAUUCAAACCUUUGUUUUCAAAACCUACUAAAGAAAUAUUUUGAAAACUUCCAGAAUAAAUGUCUAGUUUUUAUUAGCAAACAUACACAUUAUGAAAAUAAUUCAAUUAAUCACGGUAGUGUCAGUUUUAUCCUUACAACAUAUGGGAAGACAAUCUAAAUUCUCUAUUUAACUCAACUCAUUAUAUAAUGCAAAUAAGGUUGCUUAAAAGUUGGUGGGGUCAAUUUUAGCAUCCUGAAAAGUUGGCGUUGUUAUGUCCCUACCUUCCCUAUGCAAACCUAUGCCCUUGAUAUGAACAUAUCUACCAAGAUAAACACGAUCAACAUUGAAUAUAAAUUAAAUACUGUAUACCGCUCACAUAAUGCAUAUAAUUGCUCAUCACGGACAAUAAUCAGCAAACACUUUAAGCAGGAAAUUAGAAUAACAACCUAGAUUGACAAAUGAAUUGGAAACAUAACAUAAAUAACAUAAAAUGUUGUCAAAUUUGGGUUAGGCUAUCAAUUAGCACAGAGCUAGUGGUUAGCUCGUGGCGGCUAGCUAAUGCAAUAGAUUAUUAGCUGAGGAACUGUCAUCAACCAAAAGUGUUUAUAAAUUUCUAAGGCACACUUCAACACUAUACUUCUCCAAUUUACACACAACUUUCGGACGGUAAGUAAACAUGACGGUAGCUUGGGGAAGAGCUUCACUGUUAAGGAGGAGAGCGCUAGCGAGCUUCACAACGACUUAAAGGGCCAGUUCACGUUUCAAAAUGCAUGUAUGGUUAAAACAAUAUAAUAAUUACCUUGAAUCCUUGACCAAAUCACUCUUGAGACUUCCGUGCCUGCUCGUAGGCUUAAGUGUCGUCCUGUUUCAAACUAAAUCCAAACGCACAGUAUGAGAAUUGCUCCCCAUGCCAGUGGCCCGGGCUGAUGUGGGAUGGGACAGUCCCCUACCGUCAGGCUUUGCACGAUGUGAUUAAAAACAUUCCCCUUCGAACCAUAUAUUCAAGCGCUUCCAGGAGUUUGCACAGCCACGAACAGCACAGAAAGUCCCGGAGCCUCGUUUAUGUUGUGCUAAAUCCAUUUUUGGAGAAUCAGUGGGUUCCUUUGAUUUGAUUUUGACUUAGUCACACUAACUAACACACUAACUUCAAUCGCAACUCAUGAUGUUUUGUCUAAACCGGAAAUUCGCAGCAGAAAUUGUUAGGGCUCCUGCUCCUCCUCCUUGUGUAUUUGUGUGUGUGUGUGCCCCUAUAUGUUUUGUGAGGACUUUUACCUCGAUUUCUCACCUGAGCUCCGGGGACAUAGUUGGAAUAUGGGGACUAUGCCAAUGUCCCCAUAAACCUUGGACUAUAUUUGCAUUUUUUUGUGCCUAAAUGACUUUUUUUUUAUUUUACAGUGAUGCAGUUUCAAGAAUAUAUCAUCAUCUUCGUCAUCACAAUGAUAAAUAUGCCAUAGUUGGUCUCUAAAUGACUUUUCUUUUUCAUUUUUUUCCCCAAGUCCUCAUAUAACGCUUGACUUGACUGAUGUGUGUGUGUUUGUGUGUGUGCAUGUGUGUGUGCGUUGGUUUGCCUGCAUUAGCGGGACUUGCUUUUAUCGGUUUACGUACCACCAUUACCAGGACCAAACGGUUUAUCUAUCGGGACACUAAUUCAAGCACUGUAAAUGCAUUCAGAACAAUGGAAAUGACAUCCUCCCGCUUUUUCUCGUCAUGUCCUUAUAAGUACGGAAACCCGACAUAUCUGUGUCUCACACACGAAGUCAUACACGCAGAAAAAAUUUCCCGCCAUUGGGCUUUCACACACAAACGCGGGAAAACGGCACACAAAUUUAGCGGACUUCCGUGACGUAUUGGUCAGCAAUUGGCUGUUCUCAACGUUAGUCAAACGUCAAUCAAAGAAGUUCUCCGCAGUGAUUGGAGGAGUGCCGUUGGCGUCAACCCGGAAGCUCCUGAGGGAAGCGCUGUCAGUGAUUGGCUGGUGAGUGGUUUUGAUCCGACACUUUUUGUGCACAUGUAAUGUCCCUUCAAUGGAGGAGGUAAGUACAGUCUAAGUGUAUUAAUGUGUUCGUGCUAUAGUCGUUUACUCUCCCUACUAACUCUAUUUCACCAAGCUAUCUGGCUGUUUCAACGGAGUUAUGAGAUACUUUUUCCUCAACCCUGCAAUUAGGUAAAAUAGUCCGCAGGUAAAAGGGACGUCGAUGUUCGUCUAUAGGACAUUAAACACUACAGUCUUAGUAUAUUAAUGUGUUUGUGCCAUAGUCGUUUACUCUCCCUACUAACUCUGUUUCACUGAGUUAUCUGGCUGUUUUUAAGUUUAAAUACUUCUUCGUCAACUCUGUAACUAGGCAAAAUAGUCCAUAGGUUAAAGGGACGUCGAUGUUGGUCUAUAGACCCCAAUCACAUGACGUCACAACUCCGCCCCCCUGACUUGAUCCGCCAUAUUGUCCGUCAGCUCGUCGUGUUUACACAUUACCGCUACGUACAUUCCUCUUAUUACGCCGUGUUUUUCUGCUCCUUAACAUUAAUAAUCAAAAUAGUGAAGGCGUGUGUGGCGGUUGGUUGCAGUAACAGGGAAAAUAGAAGGAGAGACUUGAAGUUCUACCGUAUUCCGAGAGACCCGAAGAGGAGAGCGAGAUGAACUGCUGCAAUUCGACGAGAAUACUGGGCACCAAACGAUCACCACAGACUAUGUAGUAGUCAUUUUAUAUCUGCAAAGAUGCCUGAGAAGAGAAGCAGGAGGAGAAAGACUCCAGAACAAGAUGCUGUGGAACAUAUAAUUGAGGAAAAAGAUACAACAUUAAUUGAGGAAAGAUUUAUCAACCACUAUAAAGUAUAAAUGCUUCAAAAGAACACUAAACACUGGGCCGACUAGUGAAUGAUGAUCAUGUUCAUCCAAACUGCAAAGUCAAAAGAAUCAUGGUUCGAGGGAGACCACACCUGUGUCUGUUCGCUAUCAAAGAAAUCUUUCCAGGAGAAGAAAAAUAACUUAUAACUAUGGUGAUUCCUCUUGGCCAUGGCGCUCAAUGGCACCUUGUGAAGAGCAAAGUGACCUGAAGGUCCACGAACGUGAGCCAGCAUCAGAAAAGG